GUCUACGGCCAUACCACCCUGAACGUGCCCGAUCUCAUCUGAUCCCGGAAGCUAAGCAGGGUCGGGCCUGGUUAGUACUUGGAUGGGAGAAAUAAUCAGCAGAGUAAACA
This 110-nucleotide ribosomal RNA is filed under the name Colobus angolensis palliatus. The record is from RNAcentral. Lineage: Eukaryota; Metazoa; Chordata; Mammalia; Primates; Cercopithecidae.